AGUGAACGCUGGCGGUAGGCCUAACACAUGCGAGUCGAACGGCAGCACAGUAAGAGCUUGCUCUUACGGGUGGCGAGUGGCGGACGGGUGAGGAAUACAUCGGAAUCUACUUUUUCGUGGGGGAUAACGUAGGGAAACUUACGCUAAUACCGCAUACGACCUACGGGUGAAAGCAGGGGAUCUUCGGACCUUGCGCGAUUGAAUGAGCCGAUGUCGGAUUAGCUAGUUGGCGGGGUAAAGGCCCACCAAGGCGACGAUCCGUAGCUGGUCUGAGAGGAUGAUCAGCCACACUGGAACUGAGACACGGUCCAGACUCCUACGGGAGGCAGCAGUGGGGAAUAUUGGACAAUGGGCGCAAGCCUGAUCCAGCCAUACCGCGUGGGUGAAGAAGGCCUUCGGGUUGUAAAGCCCUUUUGUUGGGAAAGAAAAGCAGCAGGUUAAUACCCCGCUGUUCUGACGGUACCAAAAGAAUAAGCACCGGCUAACUUCGUG
This 492-nucleotide ribosomal RNA is filed under the name uncultured bacterium. RNAcentral's name for it is "partial 16S ribosomal RNA". It matches the Rfam family "Bacterial small subunit ribosomal RNA", at positions 29 to 507 of the family's 1533-position model. The record is from RNAcentral.